This 433-nucleotide ribosomal RNA is filed under the name uncultured bacterium. Its description in RNAcentral is "bacterial SSU rRNA". It matches the Rfam family "Bacterial small subunit ribosomal RNA", at positions 29 to 506 of the family's 1533-position model. The record is from RNAcentral.
ACGAACGCUGGCGGCAGGCCUAACACAUGCAAGUCAAACGGGUGUAGCAAUACAUCAGUGGCGCACGGGUGCAUAACGCGUGGGAAUCUCCCCUUAGCUACGGAAUAACGUCGGGAAACUGACGCUAAUACCGUAUAACGACUCCGGUCCAAAGAUUUAUCGGUUGAGGAUGAGCCCGCGUCUGAUUAGCUAGUUGGCGGGGUAACGGCCCACCAAGGCGACGAUCAGUAGCUGGUCUGAGAGGAUGAUCAGCCACACUGGAACUGAGACACGGUCCAGACUCCUACGGGAGGCAGCAGUGAGGAAUAUUGUACAAUGGGCGCAAGCCUGAUCCAGCCAUGCCGCGUGAGUGACGAAGGCCUUCGGGUUGUAAAGCUCUUUUAACGGUGAAGAUAAUGACGGUAGCCGUAGAAAAAGCCCCGGCUAAAUUCGU